This 226-nucleotide long non-coding RNA is filed under the name Carica papaya (papaya). RNAcentral's name for it is "long non-coding RNA (CPAP_LNC010742)". Lineage: Eukaryota; Viridiplantae; Streptophyta; Magnoliopsida; Brassicales; Caricaceae. The record is from RNAcentral.
CCAAAUUAAAGGGAAUCUGUGGCCAUGAAAAAGAGGAAGAGAGUGGGAAGUGACUGUAUGGUUUAAGAGAAAUGUGGCAUUUAACUGUAUAUAUACAUUGCUGCAAGAAUGUGGGUGAUUUUUAGGGUAGAUUAAGAAGAAGAAUGAAGAGAUUGUGAAAAAGAAUCGUAAUGAAACGUAAGGUGGCAUAGGAGAGGCCAAACCGUGGCCUUCACUUGUGGUUGGG